GGAGGCCUGAGGAAAUGGAAAUGA
Molecule: unclassified non-coding RNA, 24 nt
Filed under: Mus musculus (house mouse)
Lineage: Eukaryota; Metazoa; Chordata; Mammalia; Rodentia; Muridae
Description: oocyte_clustered_small_RNA11648
Source: RNAcentral